Molecule: ribosomal RNA, 759 nt
Filed under: uncultured Prevotella sp.
Lineage: Bacteria; Pseudomonadati; Bacteroidota; Bacteroidia; Bacteroidales; Prevotellaceae
Description: bacterial SSU rRNA
Rfam family: Bacterial small subunit ribosomal RNA
Source: RNAcentral
GAUGAACGCUAGCUACAGGCUUAACACAUGCAAGUCGCAGGGUAACAUGAGGAAAGCUUGCUUUCCUUGAUGACGACUGGCGCACGGGUGAGCAACGCGUAUCCAACCUUCCCAUAACUACGGGAUAACCCGUUGAAAGACGGCCUAAUACCGUAUGAUAUCGUUUGCUGACAUCAAAUAACGAUUAAAGGUUUAGCGGUUAUGGAUGGGGAUGCGUCUGAUUAGCUUGUUGGCGGGGUAACGGCCCACCAAGGCGACGAUCAGUAGGGGUUCUGAGAGGAAGGUCCCCCACAUUGGAACUGAGACACGGUCCAAACUCCUACGGGAGGCAGCAGUGAGGAAUAUUGGUCAAUGGGCGAGAGCCUGAACCAGCCAAGUAGCGUGCAGGAUGACGGCCCUAUGGGUUGUAAACUGCUUUUAUGUGGGGAUAAAGUGCGUGACGUGUCAUGCAUUGCAGGUACCACAUGAAUAAGGACCGGCUAAUUCCGUGCCAGCAGCCGCGGUAAUACGGAAGGUCCGGGCGUUAUCCGGAUUUAUUGGGUUUAAAGGGAGCGUAGGCUGUCUAUUAAGCGUGUUGUGAAAUUUACCGGCUCAACCGGUGGCUUGCAGCGCGAACUGGUCGACUUGAGUAUGCAGGAAGUAGGCGGAAUUCAUGGUGUAGCGGUGAAAUGCUUAGAUAUCAUGACGAACUCCGAUUGCGCAGGCAGCUUACUGUAGCAUAACUGACGCUGAUGCUCGAAAGUGCGGGUAUCAAACAGG